This 708-nucleotide ribosomal RNA is filed under the name Clavispora lusitaniae. RNAcentral's name for it is "LSU rRNA". It matches the Rfam family "Eukaryotic large subunit ribosomal RNA", at positions 62 to 848 of the family's 3401-position model. The record is from RNAcentral. Lineage: Eukaryota; Fungi; Ascomycota; Pichiomycetes; Serinales; Metschnikowiaceae.
AAGACAACAGGAUUGCCCAGUAACGGCGAGUGAAGCGGCAAAAGCUCAAAUUUGAAAUCCUGCGGGAAUUGUAAUUUGAAGGUUUCGUGGUCUGAGUCGGCCGCGCCCAAGUCCAUUGGAACAUGGCGCCUGGGAGGGUGAGAGCCCCGUAUGGCGCACGCCGACUCUUUGCACCGCGGCUCCGACGAGUCGAGUUGUUUGGGAAUGCAGCUCUAAGUGGGUGGUAAAUUCCAUCUAAAGCUAAAUAUUGGCGAGAGACCGAUAGCGAACAAGUACAGUGAUGGAAAGAUGAAAAGCACUUUGAAAAGAGAGUGAAACAGCACGUGAAAUUGUUGAAAGGGAAGGGCUUGCAAGCAGACACGGUUUUACCGGGCCAGCGUCGAAAAGGGGGGAGGAACAAGAACUCGAGAAUGUGGCGCGCACCUUCGGGCGCGCGUGUUAUAGCUCGUGUUGACGCCUCCAUCCCUUUUCGAGGCCUGCGAUUCUAGGACGCUGGCGUAAUGGUUGCAAGCCGCCCGUCUUGAAACACGGACCAAGGAGUCUAACGUCUAUGCGAGUGUUUGGGUGCAAAACCCCAGCGCGGAAUGAAAGUAAGAGGUUGGAGCCGCAAGGCGCACAAUCGACCGACCCUGAAGUGCUCGGACGGGUUUGAGUAGGAGCAUACCUGUUGGGACCCCGAAAGAUGGUGAACUAUGCCUGGAUAGGGUG